Molecule: long non-coding RNA, 798 nt
Organism: Nycticebus coucang (slow loris)
Lineage: Eukaryota; Metazoa; Chordata; Mammalia; Primates; Lorisidae
Exons: 3
Source: RefSeq, a predicted model, not a curated record
UUUAAGUCUUAUAGGUUACCUAAAGUGACCUUCCCAGUGACUGAAGAGUCAGGUUGGAACCCAAAGCCACCCUGCCCUCAACGCCAUGCUUGUCUUAUUAACUAUGUUCCCACUCCCCUUUUCUGAAAAGAGAGUGGAUUUGAUAGCUGGAGGCACAAUGGCUGGUCUUGACUCUCUUUUUCAAACAGAAACUCCUACCCAACUGACAUGCAUACUGUAAGCAUUCUGAAAUCUGCAAGAGGCUGGGGGUGCUGAGGAUUCCAUCUGUCCCUGAUACUGUAGGAUUUGGGGUUGCCUGUAACAGCCUUUCUUCAUGUACAGCAACCCCUAACCAAAGGCUGGCUGCUUGGAGAGAAUCUCACUGCUUUUGGUCGAGUGCCAUGGUGUCAUCAUAACUCACAGCAAGCUCAAACUCCUGGACUCAAGCCAUCCUCUUGCCUCAGCCUCCUGAGUAGCUGGGACUACACAUACCUGCCACAAGGCCUGGUACUAUGACUGUGCCCAUGUGUGCCUCAGGAAAGGUCAACUACAGUGAGGAUAAUGUCACAUGGUAUAAAUGUGACAUGGCCAAGAUCAGAACCCAAGACUGUGAUUCUAGAACUCACAGGCUGAACUCCUGGUUUGUAUACCCUCCUCCUCAAAUAGAAAUAGCAGGUUGGUGCAGUAUGGAAGUCAGGACUGUGCAUUUAAUGGUGGCUCUGCUCUAGACGCCUGUGUGAUGGUUGGUAAGUACGCAAAUUUCUUUCUUUUCUCUCUCUCUAUCUAUCUCUAUCUCUCCCUGUCCCUCUCCCUUUCUCC